RNAcentral lists this ribosomal RNA (387 nucleotides) under uncultured bacterium. Its description in RNAcentral is "bacterial SSU rRNA". It matches the Rfam family "Bacterial small subunit ribosomal RNA", at positions 29 to 417 of the family's 1533-position model. The record is from RNAcentral.
AUUAAACGCUGGCGGCAUGCCUUACACAUGCAAGUCGAACGGCAGCACGGGGGCAACCCUGGUGGCGAGUGGCGGACGGGUGAGUAAAGCAUCGGAACGUAUCCUGGAGUGGGGGAUAACGUAGCGAAAGUUACGCUAAUACCGCAUAUUCUGUGAGCAGGAAAGCAGGGGAUCGCAAGACCUUGCGCUCUGGGAGCGGCCGAUGUCGGAUUAGCUAGUUGGUGGGGUAAAGGCCUACCAAGGCGACGAUCCGUAGCGGGUCUGAGAGGAUGAUCCGCCACACUGGAACUGAGACACGGUCCAGACUCCUACGGGAGGCAGCAGUGGGGAAUUUUGGACAAUGGGCGCAAGCCUGAUCCAGCCAUGCCGCGUGAGUGAAGAAGGCCU